GACGAACGCUGGCGGCGUGCCUAAUACAUGCAAGUAGAACGCUGAAGGAGGAGCUUGCUCUUCUGGAAGAGUUGCGAACGGGUGAGUAACGCGUAGGUAACCUGCCUGGUAGCGGGGGAUAACUAUUGGAAACGAUAGCUAAUACCGCAUAAGAGUAGAUGUUGCAUGACAUUUACUUAAAAGGUGCAAUUGCAUCACUACCAGAUGGACCUGCGUUGUAUUAGCUAGUUGGUGGGGUAACGGCUUACCAAGGCGACGAUACAUAGCCGACCUGAGAGGGGGAUCGGCCACCCUGGGACUGAGACACGGCCCAGACUCCUACGGGAGGCAGCAGUAGGGAAUCUUCGGCAAUGGACGGAAGUCUGACCGAGCAACGCCGCGUGAGUGAAGAAGGUUUUCGGAUCGUAAAGCUCUGUUGUAAGAGAAGAACGAGUGUGAGAGUGGAAAGUUCACACUGUGACGGUAUCUUACCAGAAAGGGACGGCUAACUACGUG
This 495-nucleotide ribosomal RNA is filed under the name uncultured bacterium. Its description in RNAcentral is "partial 16S ribosomal RNA". It matches the Rfam family "Bacterial small subunit ribosomal RNA", at positions 28 to 507 of the family's 1533-position model. The record is from RNAcentral.